GGCGAAGAGAAGGGGGGCCACUGCGGUGAGCCUUGAAGCCUAGGGCGCGGGCCGGGGUGGAGCUGCCGCAAGUGCAGAUCUUAGUGGUAGUAGCAAAUAAUUCAA
Molecule: long non-coding RNA, 105 nt
Organism: Myotis brandtii (Brandt's bat)
Lineage: Eukaryota; Metazoa; Chordata; Mammalia; Chiroptera; Vespertilionidae
Exons: 3
Source: RefSeq, a predicted model, not a curated record